UAUAUUAUAUCAGUUCCAAAAGAGCAUCUGAUGCCAUUUGUUACCUUGUUUUCCUUCUACAGUACAGUCUCCUUGCUUCCCUAGUUCUCUCCUUUCUUCACAGUAUCAGUCUAUUCUCCAAAGCGGUUUGCUCCUCUAGUUUUCUCCUUUCCUCGUAUCAGUCUACUUUCCUUUAUUUGCUAUUUUUGUCUGCUGGAAGCCACGAGGACUUCUCUCUUACUGCAGAUGUCAGAGUACUCUGUGCUUCUUCUUUCGCCUUCUGAAAUGCAGGAAAAACUAUGGUGAGGUAUUGUCAAUUUGGAAGCUGAAGAAAUCAUAUAAUUGAGUGCGCUGCACUUACAUUUGAGACUUCUUUCCAUGAAUGAAGGGUUUUUAAUGCUUUCCCAGAUAACAAUGUUUGCCGAGCCAAGGUCACUCCUUCAGACAGAUCUUUAACGUGUCCGCUAACCAAGAUGGCUGCUGCUGCAUUUAGCACCUAACAGUUUCACAAGCAAGAUGGAUUACAAAAUCAUGGCAAGUGAAACAUGGUAAACCUAAGGUGAAAAAUAUGUCCUAGUGUUAUUUCAUUGGUGCAAAAUUUGAUUGACAGAUUUAUUAAGACCGCUCCGAAUUAGAACAUAGAGUGAUUAAUCCU
This is a non-coding RNA of Coffea arabica (coffee), 634 nucleotides long. NCBI's taxonomy places the organism in Eukaryota, Viridiplantae, Streptophyta, Magnoliopsida, Gentianales, Rubiaceae. The record is from RefSeq and is a predicted model, not a curated record.